CAAAACAGAUCCGACGGUCACCUCAUCCACCGCCAGAGGCGGGGGGAGAGGAGGAAAGUCCGAGCUCUCAAAGGCAGAGCGCUCCGUAACCCGGGGGUCCUUAAAGGAACGGAAAGUGCCACAGAAACUAGACUGCUCCCGCAUUCUGCGGGAGUAAAGGUGAAACAGUGGUGUAAGAGACCACUCUUUCAGAUGGAGACAUCUGAAGGGGCAAACCCCGCUCGAGAGCAAGACCAAAUAGGGAAGGAGAAGUCGCCUGCUUCGUUUUUACUUCCGGGUAGGUCGCUUGAGACAUCCGGCAACGGAUGCCCCAGAUGAAUGAUCGUCAACCUAACAGGUUAGGUUAACAGAACUCGGCUUAUGAUCUGUUUUGGCGU
Molecule: RNase P RNA, 377 nt
Filed under: candidate division Zixibacteria bacterium SM23_73_2
Lineage: Bacteria; Pseudomonadati; Candidatus Zixiibacteriota
Description: bacterial RNase P
Rfam family: Bacterial RNase P class A
About the family: Ribonuclease P (RNase P) is a ubiquitous endoribonuclease, found in archaea, bacteria and eukarya as well as chloroplasts and mitochondria.
Source: RNAcentral